UUUUUAUUUUAAGGGUAUAUGGUGGAUGCCUUGGGACCAAAAGCGAUGAAGGACGUGGCGUAGCUGCGAUAAGCCUCGGGGAGGUGUUAGCAACCUUUGAUCCGGGGAUUUCCGAAUGGGGAAACCCACUCUCCCAAAAUGAGAGUAUCAAGCUUGUCUUGAAGCAAACCCGCUGAAGUGAAACAUCUCAGUAGGCGGAGGAAAAAGAAAACAAUGGAAUGCAUAAUUCCGCAUUCCCCAAGUAGCGGCGAGCGAACGGGGAGAAGCCCAAACCCAUCAGUGUUUACACUAAUGGGGGUUGUAAGAAGAUAGCGUCUAUUAAGUUAGAGAAAGUCAACAAGUUAAUUUAAUUAGCUGAAUCUCUCUGGAAAGAGGAACCAUAGACGGUGAUAGUCCAGUAAGCGAAAAUUAAAUUACACUUUUUGCUAUCUUUCUUGAGUACCAGCGAAUCACGAAAAGUCGUUGGGAAUCCGGCGGGACUACCCGCCAAGGCUAAAUAUAAUUUGGUCACCGAUAGUGAACCAGUACCGUGAGGGAAAGGUGAAAAGCAGCCCGGUGAGGGCGGUGAAAUAGAACCUGAAACCAUACUACCCACAAAGAGUCAGAGCUGAGCAAUUUUUAUUGCUUGGUGAUGGCGUGCUUUUUGCAGAACGAGCCAACGAGUUUUUUUAAUCAAUUUGUCUAAGCGCUUCUGGCGCGGAGGCACAGGGAAACCGAGUCUUAAAAGGGCGAAUAAAAAUUGGUUGAAAAAGACCCGAAGCCAGACGAGCUUGCCAUGAGCAGGAUGAAGCUUUCAGAAAUGAAAGUGGAGGUCCGAACCCGUAUGUCGUUCAAUUCAUUGGGAUGACUUGUGGUAAGGAGUGAAAAGCUAAUCGAGUUUGGUAAUAGCUGGUUCUUCCCGAAAUAGUUCUAGGACUAGCCUUGUUUCAACACAUCUUGGAGGUAGAGCGCACUGGAAGAGGUACCGUGGCUUCGGCUAGGUAUCUUUACCAAACUCCGAAUGCCAAGAUGCUGGAAACAGGAGUCAGACUGCGGAAGCGAAGUCCCGUAGUCGCGAGGGGAACAACCCAGACCAUCAUCUAAGGUCCCUAAAUCUGGACUAAGUGUUAGUAAGGAGGUGAAAUUUCAUAGAUAGCUAGGAGGUUAGCUUAGAAGCAGCUAUCCUUUAAAAAGUGCGUAACAGCUUACUAGCUAAGAAGUUUUGCGCCGAAGAUUUCCGGGACUCAAGUUCAGUACCGAAGAUAUGGCUUCACGCAAUUUAUUGUGUGAGGGGUAGGGAAGCGUUCUUAUUGCACUGAAGCGGAAUUGUAAAAUUCCGUGGAGCGAUAAGAAGUGAGAAUGUUGGCAUGAGUAACCACAAUUAUGGUGAGAUUCCAUAACGUCGUAAACCCAAGGUUUCCUUAGCAAUGAAGAUCAUCUAAGGGUUAGGCGGUCCUUAGGAAAAGCCGAAAGGUUUAUCUGAUGGACAGCCGGUUAAUAUUCCGGCCCUUUAAUAUCUUUCCGAAGGGUGACGCAACUUAGUAGUUUGGGCAGAUUAUUGGAUUUCUGUAGGGUAUUUAAGGAGCAAUCCAAGAAUACACUUGAAGUCCGGUUCGCGCCGGGCAAAAUCAAAUGAGCAAGUUGACCAGAAAAACCCGUAGGGUUAAAGGUAUUAAAUCCGUACCGUAAACCGACACAGGUGGGUGGGCACAAGUGUGCCAAGACGAACAAGUGAAAGAUCCUAAAGGAACUCGGCAAAAAAGUGAUCGUAACUUAGGAAUAAGAUCUGCCUUCUUUUAGCAAUAAAAGAAGGCCGCAGCGAACGUCUCUCUAGCGACUGUUUAUCAAAAACACAGGUCCCUGCUUAAUUCGUAAGAGGAAGUAUAGGGGCUGAGGCCUGACCAGUGCCAGAGUGUUAAAAGUGACGGUUGCUUCGCUCUUGUUUCAGAAGCGAUACUGAGUUUCUUUAAUAUUUAAUUCGUUUAUAUGUUUAUAUUUUGAUUAGAUAAAUAACUUUAGAAAAUUUUAAGAUUCGUGGUCUUAUUAUAGAAAUAGGUAAGACAUUGCGAUUAGUAAAAGGAACUCAGAGUUGUUUGUGGUACAGGAGCGGAGCAGCUGAUUGCUCAAAGCCUCUGGUGAACGUCCGCGGUAACUCUGACCGUGUUAAAGUAGCGUAAUCCCUUGUCGGGUAAGUUCCGACCCGCAUGAAAGGUUUAACGACUGGAGAACUGUCUCUAGGAUCUGCUUGGUGAAAUCGCAAUAGGGGUGAGAAUGCCCCUUACCUGUGGCUAGACAGGAAGACCCCGGGAGCUUUACUAUACCCUGGCAUUGAAUUUUGAUGUCAGAUGCGUAGCAUAGGUGGGAGACUUUGAAGUUAUGGUUCCGGCCAUAAUGGAGUCGCCAGUGAAAUACCACUCUUUUGAUGUCAGGGUUCUAACUUCAUUAUUUUAGUAGAAUAAUGGAAGACAGUGCUUGGUUGGUAGUUUAAGUGGGGCGCUUUUCUCCUAAAAAGUAACGGAGAAGUUUAAAGGUCGGCUAAAUCCGGAUGGAAAUCGGAUUGGUCCUGUAAAGGGAAAAGCUGGCUUAACUGCAAGACGGAUAUGUCGCGCAGAUGCGAAAGCAGAACUUAGUGAACCGACCAUGGUUCGUAGGACCGUGGGAGAUCAUCAGCCAAAAGCUACCCCGGGGAUAACAGGCUAGUAGUGCCCGAGAGUCCACAUCAACGGCACUGUUCGGCACCUCGAUGUCGGCUCAUCACAUCCUGGGACUGUAGAAGGCCCCAAGGGUUUGGCUGUUCGCCAAUUAAAGUGGUUCGCGAGCUGGGUUCAGACCGUCGUAAGACAGGUUGGUCCAUAUCUACCACAGGCGUUGAGUCUUGAGGAGAGUUGUCCUUUGUACGAGAGGAUCAGGAUGAACUAACCUCUGGUGUAUCAGUUGUCGCGCCAGCGGCAUUGCUGAGUAGCUAAGUUAGGCAGGGAUAAGAGCUGAAAGCAUCUAAGCUCGAAGCCCACUCCAAGAUUAGGACUCUUACCCAGGUUAAAGACUAUGACCUUGAUAGGAGGCAGGUGUAAGUUCCGUGAGGAAUUGAGCCGAGCCUUACUAAUUGGGUAUCACAUACUUUUGA
This 3103-nucleotide ribosomal RNA is filed under the name activated sludge metagenome. RNAcentral's name for it is "bacterial LSU rRNA". It matches the Rfam family "Bacterial large subunit ribosomal RNA". The record is from RNAcentral.